CAGUAGCCGCGGUAAUACGUAGGUGGCAAGCGUUGUCCGGAAUUAUUGGGCGUAAAGGGCUCGCAGGCGGUUUCUUAAGUCUGAUGUGAAAGCCCCCGGCUCAACCGGGGAGGGUCAUUGGAAACUGGGAAACUUGAGUGCAGAAGAGGAGAGUGGAAUUCCACGUGUAGCGGUGAAAUGCGUAGAGAUGUGGAGGAACACCAGUGGCGAAGGCGACUCUCUGGUCUGUAACUGACGCUGAGGAGCGAAAGCGUGGGGAGCGAACAGGAUUAGAUACCCCGUAGUCCCUGUCUCUUAUACA
This 301-nucleotide ribosomal RNA is filed under the name uncultured bacterium. Its description in RNAcentral is "partial 16S ribosomal RNA". It matches the Rfam family "Bacterial small subunit ribosomal RNA", at positions 509 to 808 of the family's 1533-position model. The record is from RNAcentral.